UCCCCGGUGGCUCAGAUGGUAAAGCAUCUGCUUGCAAUGCAGGAGACCCAGGUUCAAUCCCUGGGUGGAGAA
RNAcentral lists this transfer RNA (72 nucleotides) under Bos taurus (domestic cattle). It matches the Rfam family "tRNA". Rfam says of the family: Transfer RNA (tRNA) molecules are approximately 80 nucleotides in length. Their secondary structure includes four short double-helical elements and three loops (D, anti-codon, and T loops). RNAcentral also lists the same sequence under 2 other names. The record is from Rfam by way of RNAcentral. Lineage: Eukaryota; Metazoa; Chordata; Mammalia; Artiodactyla; Bovidae.